UACGUAGGGUGCGAGCGUUAAUCGGAAUUACUGGGCGUAAAGCGUGCGCAGGCGGUUCGUGAUGUCUGGUGUGAAAGCCCCGGGCUCAACCUGGGAACUGCAUUGGAAACUAGCGGGCUGGAGUGUGGCAGAGGGGGGUGGAAUUCCACGUGUAGCAGUGAAAUGCGUAGAGAUGUGGAGGAACACCGAUGGCGAAGGCAGCCCCCUGGGCUAACACUGACGCUCAUGCACGAAAGCGUGGGGAGCAAACAGG
RNAcentral lists this ribosomal RNA (253 nucleotides) under uncultured bacterium. RNAcentral's name for it is "partial 16S ribosomal RNA". It matches the Rfam family "Bacterial small subunit ribosomal RNA", at positions 524 to 776 of the family's 1533-position model. The record is from RNAcentral.